RNAcentral lists this ribosomal RNA (476 nucleotides) under uncultured bacterium. RNAcentral's name for it is "bacterial SSU rRNA". It matches the Rfam family "Bacterial small subunit ribosomal RNA", at positions 28 to 501 of the family's 1533-position model. The record is from RNAcentral.
GAUGAACGCUAGCGGCAGGCUUAACACAUGCAAGUCGAGGGGCAGCACGGGUAGCAAUACCUGGUGGCGACCGGCGCAAGGGUGCGUAACGCGUGAGCAACAUGCCCUAUACAGGGGGAUAAUCCAGGGAAACUUGGUCUAAUAUCCCAUAGCAUUUAGAGGAGGCAUCUUCACUAAAUUAAAGCUUCGGUGGUAUAGGAUUGGCUCGCGUGACAUUAGCUAGAUGGUGAGGUAACGGCCCACCAUGGCUAUGAUGUCUAGGGGUUCUGAGAGGAAGACCCCCCACACUGGGACUGAGACACGGCCCAGACUCCUACGGGAGGCAGCAGUGAGGAAUAUUGGACAAUGGAUGGAAAUCUGAUCCAGCCAUGCCGCGUGCAGGAAGACGGCCCUAUGGGUUGUAAACUGCUUUUAAUGGGACAAUAAGGUUUACGAGUAGACCGAUGAGAGUACCAUAUGAAUAAGCAUCGGCUAAC